This 207-nucleotide long non-coding RNA is filed under the name Elaeis guineensis (African oil palm). RNAcentral describes it as "long non-coding RNA (EGUI_LNC021911)". Lineage: Eukaryota; Viridiplantae; Streptophyta; Magnoliopsida; Arecales; Arecaceae. The record is from RNAcentral.
GCCUAGUCUAUGGUGCCACAAGUACUUCUAGUUAAUCUCAUCUCUGGUUCUCUUUUGGCCUACAGCACUCAUAUUUGCUCGUUUAGAUUCACAUUCGCAUCAAUAUACAAGUGAUAAAGAUUGUCAAUUAAAAGAUCUCGUAUAAUCAAUUUAUUUCAUAAAUAAAUAAGAUAAAAAUCUUUAUUGAAACUAAUUUUAAAAUCUUCU